GACGAACGCUGGCAGCGUGCUUAACACAUGCAAGUCGAACGGUAAGGCCCUUCGGGGUACACGAGUGGCGAACGGGUGAGUAACACGUGGGUGAUCUGCCCUGCACUUCGGGAUAAGCCUGGGAAACUGGGUCUAAUACCGGAUAGGACCCUGGGAUGCAUGUCCUGGGGUGGAAAGCUUUUGCGGUGUGGGAUGGGCCCGCGGCCUAUCAGCUUGUUGGUGGGGUGAUGGCCUACCAAGGCGACGACGGGUAGCCGGCCUGAGAGGGUGACCGGCCACACUGGGACUGAGAUACGGCCCAGACUCCUACGGGAGGCAGCAGUGGGGAAUAUUGCACAAUGGGCGCAAGCCUGAUGCAGCGACGCCGCGUGAGGGAUGACGGCCUUCGGGUUGUAAACCUCUUUCAGCACCGACGAAGCGCAAGUGACGGUAGGUGCAGAAGAAGGACCGGCCAACUACGUGCCAGCAGCAGCCGCAG
This 478-nucleotide ribosomal RNA is filed under the name uncultured bacterium. Its description in RNAcentral is "partial 16S ribosomal RNA". It matches the Rfam family "Bacterial small subunit ribosomal RNA", at positions 28 to 523 of the family's 1533-position model. The record is from RNAcentral.